This 477-nucleotide ribosomal RNA is filed under the name uncultured bacterium. RNAcentral's name for it is "bacterial SSU rRNA". It matches the Rfam family "Bacterial small subunit ribosomal RNA", at positions 33 to 507 of the family's 1533-position model. The record is from RNAcentral.
GACACGCUGGCGGCGUGCCUAACACAUGCAAGUCGAACGGAGAGGACAUGAAGUAUUUCGGUACGGAAUGCUCUCUUAGUGGCGAACGGGUGAGUAACACGUGGGCAACCUGCCCCAGACUGGGGGAUAACAUUGUGAAAACAGUGCUAAUACCGCAUGACAGGGUUCCGGGCAUCCGGGACCCUUGAAAGGAGAAAUCCGGUCAGGGAUGGGCCCGCGUCCAAUUAGCUAGUUGGCGGGGUAACGGCCCACCAAAGGCGACGAUUGGUAGCCGAACUGAGAGGUUGAUCGGCCACAUUGGGACUGAGACACGGCCCAGACUCCUACGGGAGGCAGCAGUGGGGAAUAUUGGGCAAUGGGCGAAAGCCUGACCCAGCGACGCCGCGUGAAGGAUGAAGGUCUUCGGAUUGUAAACUUCUUUGAUCAGGGAAGAAAGAAAUGACGGUACCUGAAAAACAAGCCACGGCUAACUACGUG